Long non-coding RNA from Entelurus aequoreus (snake pipefish), 411 nucleotides. RefSeq lists it as uncharacterized. The transcript has 3 exons. The record is from RefSeq and is a predicted model, not a curated record. Lineage: Eukaryota; Metazoa; Chordata; Actinopteri; Syngnathiformes; Syngnathidae.
UUGAACUCACCGUAUAGUUUGUUUCCAUGUAUAAAUUUCUCCGACUUUCUAGGACGUGUUUUAUGCCUCUUUUUCUGUCUCAUUUUGUCCACCACACUUUUAACGUUGGGCAUGAGUGCACAAAGGGAGUUGCAGUCUCAUCACAGUUUGCCAGGGGAUUAACAGACUCAGAAAAGCAAACCAGGGAAAUGGCGAGAAGGCUCUAAAGCAAAGGCCGUGGGCUGAGCCAGGACAGGUGGUUCACUUUCAAACGCACUUCUGACUCAAUCAAACAAUCAAUCAAUCAAAGUUUAUUUAUAUAGCCCUAAAUCACGAGUGUCUCAAAGGGGUGCACAAGCCACAACGACAUCCUCCGCUCAGAUCCAACAUCAGGGCAAGGAAAAACUCAACCCAAUGGGCUACAAUGAGAAA